ACGAACGCUGGCGGCGUGCCUAACACAUGCAAGUCGAGCGAUGAAGUUCCUUCGGGAACGGAUUAGCGGCGGACGGGUGAGUAACACGUGGGCAACCUGCCUUAUAGAGGGGAAUAGCCUUCCGAAAGGAAGAUUAAUACCGCAUAAGAUUGUAGCUUCGCAUGAAGUAGCAAUUAAAGGAGUAAUCCGCUAUAAGAUGGGCCCGCGGCGCAUUAGCUAGUUGGUGAGGUAACGGCUCACCAAGGCGACGAUGCGUAGCCGACCUGAGAGGGUGAUCGGCCACAUUGGGACUGAGACACGGCCCAGACUCCUACGGGAGGCAGCAGUGGGGAAUAUUGCACAAUGGGGGUAACCCUGAUGCAGCAGCGCCGCGUGAGUGAUGACGGCCUUCGGGUUGUAAAGCUCUGUCUUUGGGGACGAUAAUGACGGUACCCAAGGAGGAAGCCACGGCUAACUACGUGCCAGCAGCCGCGGUAAUACGUAGGUGGCAAGCGUUGUCCGGAUUUACUG
Molecule: ribosomal RNA, 510 nt
Filed under: uncultured bacterium
Lineage: Bacteria
Description: bacterial SSU rRNA
Rfam family: Bacterial small subunit ribosomal RNA
Source: RNAcentral